GGUGGCUUAGUGGUUAAGAGUUUGGCUGCUAACCAAAAGGUUGGUAGUUUGAAUCCACCAGGUACCC
Molecule: non-coding RNA, 67 nt
Organism: Loxodonta africana (African savanna elephant)
Lineage: Eukaryota; Metazoa; Chordata; Mammalia; Proboscidea; Elephantidae
Source: Rfam